RNAcentral lists this ribosomal RNA (1436 nucleotides) under uncultured methanogenic archaeon. RNAcentral describes it as "bacterial SSU rRNA". It matches the Rfam family "Bacterial small subunit ribosomal RNA". The record is from RNAcentral. Lineage: Archaea; Methanobacteriati; Methanobacteriota.
UGCAAGUCGUACGCGUUGGCCCAACUGAUUUGAAGUGCUUGCACGGAUCUGACGUUGGUUUACCAACGAGUGGCGGACGGGUGAGUAACACGUAGGUAACCUGCCCAGAAGCGGGGGACAACACUUGGAAACAGGUGCUAAUACCGCAUAACAAUUCAAAUCGCAUGAUUUGAAUUUAAAAGAUGGUUUCGGCUAUCACUUCUGGAUGGACCUGCGGCGCAUUAGCUUGUUGGUGGGGUAACGGCCUACCAAGGCAGUGAUGCGUAGCCGAGUUGAGAGACUGAUCGGCCACAAUGGGACUGAGACACGGCCCAUACUCCUACGGGAGGCAGCAGUAGGGAAUCUUCCACAAUGGGCGCAAGCCUGAUGGAGCAACACCGCGUGAGUGAAGAAGGUUUUCGGAUCGUAAAGCUCUGUUGUUGAAGAAGAACGUGCAUGAGAGUAACUGUUCAUGCAGUGACGGUAUUCAACCAGAAAGUCACGGCUAACUACGUGCCAGCAGCCGCGGUAAUACGUAGGUGGCAAGCGUUAUCCGGAUUUAUUGGGCGUAAAGAGAGUGCAGGCGGUUUCUUAAGUCUGAUGUGAAAGCCUUCGGCUCAACCGAAGAAGUGCAUCGGAAACUGGGAAACUUGAGUACAGAAGAGGGCAGUGGAACUCCAUGUGUAGCGGUGGAAUGCGUAGAUAUAUGGAAGAACACCAGUGGCGAAGGCGGCUGCCUGGUCUGUAACUGACGCUGAGACUCGAAAGCAUGGGUAGCGAACAGGAUUAGAUACCCUGGUAGUCCAUGCCGUAAACGAUGAGUGCUAGGUGUUGGAGGGUUUCCGCCCUUCAGUGCCGGAGCUAACGCAUUAAGCACUCCGCCUGGGGAGUACGACCGCAAGGUUGAAACUCAAAGGAAUUGACGGGGGCCCGCACAAGCGGUGGAGCAUGUGGUUUAAUUCGAAGCUACGCGAAGAACCUUACCAGGUCUUGACAUCUUGCGCCAACCCUAGAGAUAGGGCGUUUCCUUCGGGAACGCAAUGACAGGUGGUGCAUGGUCGUCGUCAGCUCGUGUCGUGAGAUGUUGGGUUAAGUCCCGCAACGAGCGCAACCCUUGUUACUAGUUGCCAGCAUUAAGUUGGGCACUCUAGUGAGACUGCCGGUGACAAACCGGAGGAAGGUGGGGACGACGUCAGAUCAUCAUGCCCCUUAUGACCAGGGCUACACACGUGCUACAAUGGACGGUACAACGAGCAGCGAACUCGCGAGGGCAAGCAAAUCUCUUAAAACCGUUCUCAGUUCGGAUUGCAGGCUGCAACUCGCCUGCAUGAAGUCGGAAUCGCUAGUAAUCGCGGAUCAGCAUGUCGCGGUGAAUACGUUCCCGGGCCUGGUACACACCGCCCGUCACACCAUGAGAGUUUGUAACACCCAAAGUCGGUGGGGUAACCUUUGGAGCC